Gopherus evgoodei (Goodes thornscrub tortoise) is the source of this 108-nucleotide long non-coding RNA. RefSeq lists it as uncharacterized. The transcript is spliced from 3 exons. The record is from RefSeq and is a predicted model, not a curated record. NCBI's taxonomy places the organism in Eukaryota, Metazoa, Chordata, Testudines, Testudinidae.
CCCACCUCCUUCCUGUUUCCUGUCCUUUCAGACUCCCAACAGCCAAUGCUCCCAGUUCUAAUAAUUACAAGCACAUGUAAACACCACAUUCCCUCCUUUCUUAGGAAA